GAUGAACGCUAGCGGCAGGCCUAACACAUGCAAGUCGAGGGAGAAGCCCUUUCGGGGGCAGAAACCGGCGCACGGGUGCGUAACGCGUAUGCAACCUACCUUUCACAGGGGGAUAGCCCGAAGAAAUUUGGAUUAAUACCCCAUAAUAUUGUUGGAUGGCAUCAUUUGGCAAUUAAAAAUGCGGUGGUGAAAGAUGGGCAUGCGUCCUAUUAGCUAGUUGGAGUGGUAACGGCACCCCAAGGCUACGAUAGGUAGGGGUCCGGAGAGGGAGAUCCCCCACACUGGUACUGAGACAGGGACCAGACUCCUACGGGAGGCAGCAGUGAGGAAGAUUGGUAAAUGGGCGGAAGACUGAACCGGCCAUGCCGCGUGCAGGAAGAAUGCCUUAUGGGUUGUAAACUGCUGUUAAAUGGGAAGAAUAAGGCGUACGUGUACGUUGAUGACGGUACCAGAUGAAUAAGCAUCGGCUAACUCCGUG
RNAcentral lists this ribosomal RNA (478 nucleotides) under uncultured bacterium. RNAcentral's name for it is "partial 16S ribosomal RNA". It matches the Rfam family "Bacterial small subunit ribosomal RNA", at positions 28 to 507 of the family's 1533-position model. The record is from RNAcentral.